AGCGCAUACGGUGGAUGCCUAGGCAGUAAGAGGCGAUGAAGGACGUUGUAGCAUGCGAUAAGUCUCGGGGAGUUUGCAAACUAACUUUGAUCCGAGAAUUUCCGAAUGGGGAAACCCGGCUUGCAUCAGCAAGUCAUCUUGCAGUGAAUACAUAGCUGCAUGAAGCGAACCCGGAGAACUGAAACAUCUAAGUACCCGGAGGAAAAGAAAUCAACCGAGAUUCCCUUAGUAGCGGCGAGCGAACGGGGAUUAGCCCUUAAGUUACUACAGAGUUAGUGGAACCGUCUGGAAAGUCGGGCGAUACAGGGUGAUAGCCCCGUACACGAAAACCUGUAGUAGUGAAAACGAGUAGGUCGGAGCACGUGAAACUUUGACUGAACAUGGGGGGACCAUCCUCCAAGGCUAAAUACUCCUUACUGACCGAUAGUGAACCAGUACCGUGAGGGAAAGGCGAAAAGAACCCCGGAGAGGGGAGUGAAAUAGAUCCUGAAACCGUAUGCGUACAAGCAGUGGGAGCACCCGUGUGGUGUGACUGCGUACCUUUUGUAUAAUGGGUCAGCGACUUAAUCUCAGUGGCAAGCUUAACCGAAUAGGGGAGGCGUAGCGAAAGCGAGUCUUAAUAGGGCGAAUUAGUCGCUGGGAUUAGACCCGAAACCGGGCGAUCUAUCCAUGGCCAGGCUGAAGGUGAGGUAAUACUUACUGGAGGGCCGAACCCACGUCUGUUGAAAAAGACGGGGAUGAGCUGUGGAUCGGAGUGAAAGGCUAAUCAAGCUCGGAGAUAGCUGGUUCUCCUCGAAAGCUAUUUAGGUAGCGCCUCGUGUAUAACUGUUGGGGGUAGAGCACUGUUUCGGCUAGGGGGUCAUCUCGACUUACCAACCCGAUGCAAACUCCGAAUACCAACAAGUUCGAGCACGGGAGACACACGGCGGGUGAUAAGGUCCGUCGUGGAAAGGGAAACAGCCCAGACCGUCAGCUAAGGUCCCAAAAUCUAUGCUCAGUGGGAAACGAUGUGGAAAGGCCCAGACAGCCAGGAGGUUGGCUUAGAAGCAGCCAUCCUUUAAAGAAAGCGUAAUAGCUCACUGGUCGAGUCGGUCUGCGCGGAAGAUUUACCGGGGCUAAGCAUAGUACCGAAGCUACGGGUUCAUCUUAUAGAUGAGCGGUAGAGGAGCGUUCUGUACGCCUGCGAAGGUGAACUGAGAAGUUUGCUGGAGGUAUCAGAAGUGCGAAUGCUGACAUGAGUAACGUUAAUGGGGGUGAAAAGCCCCCACGCCGUAAGCGCAAGGUUUCCUACGCAACGUUCAUCGGCGUAGGGUGAGUCGGCCCCUAAGGCGAGGCAGAGAUGCGUAGCUGAUGGGAAACAGGUCAAUAUUCCUGUACCGAUCAAUAGUGCGAUGUGGGGACGGAGAAGGUUAGCUCGGCCGGGUGUUGGAUGUCCCGGUUCAAGCCUGUAGCCAUGCCCUGUAGGCAAAUCCGCAGGGCUUAGGUGAGAGGUGAUAACGAGGCCGCUUGCGGCCGAAGUGAGUGAUACCCUGCUUCCAGGAAAAGCCACUAAGCUUCAGCUAUUGACGACCGUACCGCAAACCGACACUGGUGCGCGUGAUGAGUAUUCUCAGGCGCUUGAGAGAACUCUGGAGAAGGAACUCGGCAAAUUGACACCGUAACUUCGGAAGAAGGUGUGCCUUUAGUAGGUGAAGUCCCAUGCGGAUAGAGCCCAAUGAGGCCGCAGAGAAUCGGUGGCUGCGACUGUUUAUUAAAAACACAGCACUCUGCAAAGACGAAAGUCGACGUAUAGGGUGUGACGCCUGCCCGGUGCUGGAAGAUUAAAUGAUGGGGUUCUCACGAGAAGCUCUUGAUUGAAGUCCCAGUAAACGGCGGCCGUAACUAUAACGGUCCUAAGGUAGCGAAAUUCCUUGUCGGGUAAGUUCCGACCUGCACGAAUGGCGUAACGAUGGCCACACUGUCUCCUCCAGAGACUCAGUGAAAUUGAAAUUGCGGUGAAGAUGCCGUAUACCCGCGGCUAGACGGAAAGACCCCGUGAACCUUUACUAUAGCUUGACACUGGACUUUGAAUCGAUUUGUGUAGGAUAGGUGGGAGACUUAGAAGCAGGAACGCCAGUUCUUGUGGAGUCGACCUUGAAAUACCACCCUGGUUUAUUUGAAGUUCUAACCUAGGUCCGUCAUCCGGAUUGGGGACAGUGUCUGGUGGGUAGUUUGACUGGGGCGGUCUCCUCCUAAAGAGUAACGGAGGAGCACGAAGGUACCCUCAGCCUGGUCGGAAAUCAGGCGAUGAGUGCAAUGGCAUAAGGUUGCUUGACUGCGAGACGGACAGGUCGAGCAGGUGCGAAAGUAGGUCAUAGUGAUCCGGUGGUUCUGUAUGGAAGGGCCAUCGCUCAACGGAUAAAAGGUACUCUGGGGAUAACAGNCUGAUUCCGCCCAAGAGUUCAUAUCGACGGGGGAGUUUGGCACCUCGAUGUCGGCUCAUCACAUCCUGGGGCUGUAGCCGGUCCCAAGGGUAUGGCUGUUCGCCAUUUAAAGUGGUACGUGAGCUGGGUUUAAAACGUCGUGAGACAGUUUGGUCCCUAUCUGCCGUGGGCGUUGGAAAUUUGAAGGGACCUGCUCCUAGUACGAGAGGACCGGAGUGGACAGAUCUCUGGUGGACCGGUUAUCACGCCAGUGGUAUAGCCGGGUAGCUAAAUCUGGAAGAGAUAAACGCUGAAAGCAUCUAAGCGUGAAACUCGCCUUGAGAUGAGAUUUCCCUGGGGGUAUAACCCCCCUAAAGAGUCGUUCGAGACCAGGACGUUGAUAGGACGGAUGUGGAAGCGCAGUAAUGCGUUAAGCUGACCGUUACUAAUUGCUCGUGAGGCUUGAUC
This 2870-nucleotide ribosomal RNA is filed under the name freshwater sediment metagenome. RNAcentral's name for it is "bacterial LSU rRNA". It matches the Rfam family "Bacterial large subunit ribosomal RNA". The record is from RNAcentral.